Molecule: ribosomal RNA, 238 nt
Filed under: uncultured bacterium
Lineage: Bacteria
Description: partial 16S ribosomal RNA
Rfam family: Bacterial small subunit ribosomal RNA
Source: RNAcentral
UGGCGGACGGGUGAGUAACGCGUGGGUAACCUGCCUCAUACAGGGGGAUUACAGUUGGAAACGGCUGCUAAUACCGCAUAAGCGCACAGUACCGCAUGGUACGGUGUGAAAAACUCCGGUGGUAUGAGAUGGACCCGCGUCUGAUUAGGUAGUUGGUGGGGUAACGGCCUACCAAGCCGACGAUCAGUAGCCGACCUGAGAGGGUGACCGGCCACAUUGGGACUGAGACACGGCCCAA